UACGUAGGCGGCUUAAUAAGUCAGAUGUGAAAUCCCCGGGCUUAACCUAGGAACUGCGUUUGAAACUGUUUGGCUAGAGUGAGUGAGAGGUUAGUGGAAUUCAAGGCGUAGCGGUGAAAUGCGUAGAGGUCUUGAGGAACAUCAGUGGCGUAGGCGACUAACUGGCACUACACUGACGCUGAGGUACGAAAGCGUGGGGAGCGAACA
This 207-nucleotide ribosomal RNA is filed under the name uncultured bacterium. Its description in RNAcentral is "partial 16S ribosomal RNA". It matches the Rfam family "Bacterial small subunit ribosomal RNA", at positions 568 to 774 of the family's 1533-position model. The record is from RNAcentral.